GUCUGGUGCCAGCAGCCGCGGUAAUUCCAGCUCCAAUAGCGUAUAUUAAAAUUGUUGCAGUUAAAAAGCUCGUAGUUGAAGUUCUGCUGAAAGUAACCGGUCUGCUUUUAAUAAAAGUGGUAUCUUGGUAUGUAUUUAGCAAUGAUGUCCUUUGAAGUGUUUUUUACUUUAUUGUAAUAAAGCAUAUUCAGGACUUUUACUUUGAGAAAAUUAGAGUGUUUCUAGCAGGCUGACGCUUUGAAUACUGCAGCAUGGAAUAAUAAGAUAGGAUUUUAGUUCUACAUUAUUGGUUUUAAGAGCUAAAUUAAUGAUUGAUAGGGACAGUUGGGGGCAUUUGUAUUUAACUGUCAGAGGUGAAAUUCUUAGAUUUGUUAAAGACAAACUACUGCGAAAGCAUUUGCCAAAGAUGUUUUCAUUAAUCAAGAACGAAAGUUAGGGGAUCGAAGACGAUCAGAUACCGU
Molecule: ribosomal RNA, 461 nt
Filed under: Hepatozoon canis
Lineage: Eukaryota; Apicomplexa; Hepatozoidae
Description: SSU rRNA
Rfam family: Eukaryotic small subunit ribosomal RNA
Source: RNAcentral